Homo sapiens (human) is the source of this 94-nucleotide small nuclear RNA. Lineage: Eukaryota; Metazoa; Chordata; Mammalia; Primates; Hominidae. The record is from Ensembl.
GUGCUCACUUUGGCAGCACAUAUACUAAAAUUGGAAUGAUAUAUGGCCCUUGUGCAAGAAUGACAUGUACAUUCAUGAAGCAGUCCAUAUAUAU